CGGAUCGGAGUCUGCAACCCGACUCCGUGAAGCUGGAUUCGCUGUAAUCGCGCAUCAGCCAUGGCGCGGUGAAUACGUUCCCGGGCCUUGUACACACCGCCCGUCAAGCCAUGGGAGCCGGGGGCACUUGAAGUACGCCGCCGCGAGGAGCGUCCUAGAGUGAAACUGGUGACUGGGGCUAAGUCGUAACAAGGUACC
RNAcentral lists this ribosomal RNA (198 nucleotides) under uncultured bacterium. RNAcentral describes it as "partial 16S ribosomal RNA". It matches the Rfam family "Bacterial small subunit ribosomal RNA", at positions 1294 to 1500 of the family's 1533-position model. The record is from RNAcentral.